GCUGGCGGUCAUGCCUAACACAUGCAAGUCGUACGAGAGUUUAGAACUCAAGUGGCGGACGGGUGAGUAACACGUGAGAAUUUACCUUUAGGAGGGGGAUAACAAUUGGAAACGAUUGCUAAUACCCCAUAUGCUUUCGAGUGAAAUAGAGUUAUCUGCCUAAAGAGAAGCUCGCGGCUGAUUAGCUUGUUGGUAAGGUAAUGGCUUACCAAGGCGACGAUCAGUAUCUGGUUUGAGAGGACGAUCAGACACAUUGGAACUGAGACACGGUCCAGACUCCUACGGGAGGCAGCAGUGGGGGAUUUUCCGCAAUGGGCGAAAGCCUGACGGAGCAAUACCGCGUGAGGGAAGACGGCCCAUGGGUUGUAGACCUCUUUUUUCAGUGAGGAAACAAAUGACGUGUAGCUGAAGAAUAAGCAUCGGCUAACUCCGUGCCAGCAGCCGCGGUAAGACGGAGGAUGCAAGUGUUAUCCGGAAUCACUGGGCGUAAAGCGUCUGUAGGUGGUUUAAUAAGUCAACUGUUAAAUCUUGAGGCUUAACUUCAAAAUCGCAGUCGAAACUAUUA
This 565-nucleotide ribosomal RNA is filed under the name uncultured cyanobacterium. Its description in RNAcentral is "bacterial SSU rRNA". It matches the Rfam family "Bacterial small subunit ribosomal RNA", at positions 35 to 638 of the family's 1533-position model. The record is from RNAcentral. Lineage: Bacteria; Bacillati; Cyanobacteriota.